This 524-nucleotide small RNA is filed under the name Pan troglodytes (chimpanzee). RNAcentral describes it as "processed transcript". The record is from RNAcentral. Lineage: Eukaryota; Metazoa; Chordata; Mammalia; Primates; Hominidae.
GACUUCUGUGACCAUAGUCACUCUUCCUUCAUGGAGCCCACAGCGCACUAAAGUGAAAUCUGGAGAAUUUGCUGUUAGUAAGCCCUAUGAGUUUGUCUCUCUGGAAUGGCUGCAAAAGUGGUUGGAUGAAUCAACACCUACCAAACCUAUUGAUAAUCACGCUUGCCUGUGUUCCCAUGACAAGCUUCACCCGGAUAAAAUAUCAAUUAUGAAGAGGAUAUCUGAAUAUGCAGCUGACAUUUUCUAUAGUAGAUAUGGAGGAGGUCCAAGACUAACUGUGAAAGCCCUGUGUAAGGAAUGUGUAGUAGAACGUUGUCGCAUAUUGCGUCUGAAGAACCAACUAAAUGAAGAUUAUAAAACUGUUAAUAAUCUGCUGAAAGCAGCAGUAAAGGGCAACGAUGGAUUUUGGGUGGGGAAGUCUUCCUUGCGGAGUUGGCGCCAGCUAGCUCUUGAACAGCUGGAUGAGCAAGAUGGUGAUGCAGAACAAAGCAACGGAAAGAUGAACGGUAGCACCUUAAAUAAAG